AAGCUAAGUAAAGCUCAGUUAUAUCAGAAGGAAGUAUCAGCUUUCUUCACAACAGCCAAAGCUGCAGAAAGAAACAACCAUGAAUAUGUACACAAACUACCCUUCUGCAUUGACAAUACCAUAGUAGCUAGAACAAGUGAUUCAACGAAGCUCCAACAAAAUCAAAUGUAAGAACAAGGAACCCCCUCAGAGAUCAUAGCACGAGUUCGAAAGAUCACGAGGCAGAUGAUGCUUAUAGUAAUUCAUACUACAGGUAAGACCAAAUAGACACCCAGAAAAACAGAUAUCCAGCAAUUGGAAAGGCAUGCAUAGCACGACCAUAAAUUCAUAAAAAGUUCAGCACUUUGACAAGGUUUCAGAUGUUGGAGCAUAUAAAGAAGCUACCAGUUGGGGGAAAUCGACAAUACCCACAAGCAAGCAAGCAGCAUUGACAAUAAUUCAACGUAUAUGUACACAAAAUACCCUGCUGCAUUGACAGUACCAGAGUAGGUAGAACAAGGGAUUCAACAAAGCUCAAACAAAAUCAAAUGCAGGAACAAGGAACGCCCUAAGAAAUCAUAACACAGCGACCAAAAGCUUAAAAGUUCAGCACCUUGCCCACAGUUGAAUGUUCUAUUGUUGUCAACUUUACUAUCAUUUGUUCUUUUUGUAUCAUCCUUCUUCGACACCCAUUAGCACUCUGCUGCUUCUGUUAUUGUCUGGCAUUUGUACGACAACUAUAGUCGUAUCAAAUCCAUUUGGUUUAUACAUAUAGUCAAAUCUUUUCGAAGGGAGAGGAAUCACCCUGCCUGCAAACACUGGUGGGAGUCUGUUCAUGGCAAUCGGCUUGGAGGCUGAUGCUAUGGUGGCCUCCCAGAAGUUGGUUCAUAAUGCUGGUAGAUGAUUUAUGAUCUUGCCCCUGUCAAAGGGAGUUUCUGUCUUUUUCUUCACCAACAGCCAAAGCUACAUAAACAAGCAAUCAGGAACGCUAAAGUCUUCAAUAAUUCUACAAACUACCCUACUGCGUUGACAAUACCAGAGUAGGUAGAGUAGAACAAGGGAUUCAACAGAGCUCCACAAAAAUCAAAUGUAAGAACAAGGAAGACCCUCAGAGAUCAUAGUACCAGUUCAAAAGAUCAUGACCCAGACGAUGCUCAUGGGCAAUUCAUACAAGUCUUUCCCACGCCACAACCAACAUCAUACUACAGGUAAGAACAAAAUAGACACCAGCAGAACAGAUUUCCAGCAAUUGGAAAGGCAUGCAUAACACAAGGACCAAAACUCAUAUAAAGUUCAGCACUUUGACAAGGAUCCAGCUAUCAGUUGGGCAAAGAAACAAUACCCACAAGCAAGAAUAAAAAGAGAAAGAUGCUAGUGAGAUAAAUCAAACAAUAUGUGCCCUCAGAUCAGUCCAGUUUAUGAAAAAUCACACAUGAGGCCAAACCGCUACCGCCGCCUGCAAAUAGUAAGAGCAACAGCAGCAGUUUACAACAUGGAUCAGAAGUCGGAAUCUGUGAACCGAUAAUAAUAAUAAUAAUAAUAAUAAUAACAAUGAUAAUAACAGCAGCAGCAGCAGCGAUGGCACAUUUGAAGAGAAGAAGAAGAAGAAGCUCAACAGAAGCAUUUCCAUGGAUCUAUCAUCAUCGGGCACAAUUAGUAAGGAGGGUAACUACAAACAGAGGAUUACUUCAGAACUUAGCCUACCAAAAGGAUCCAUUCGCCAUAGCGUAAGUGCCCAGGGAAUGCUGCGAUUGACGAGUGAAGGAUGUGCGAUGGAAGGCGGAACUACAAUUUGGCCCACUUAUUAUUCCCUUCUUCCUUUUUAGCCGUCGGAUCAAAUUCAAAAUCCACAAGAAUCUCGAGCAAAUAUGAUUUGUUCAUGUAGGUUGAGAUAUAUGGAUAUGGUUCGCCGGUCCAAUUCGGAUGGGAUGGUUGGGCUUUAAUCGAAG
RNAcentral lists this long non-coding RNA (1928 nucleotides) under Linum usitatissimum (flax). Its description in RNAcentral is "long non-coding RNA (LUSI_LNC002608)". The record is from RNAcentral. Lineage: Eukaryota; Viridiplantae; Streptophyta; Magnoliopsida; Malpighiales; Linaceae.